Molecule: long non-coding RNA, 490 nt
Filed under: Mus spicilegus (steppe mouse)
Lineage: Eukaryota; Metazoa; Chordata; Mammalia; Rodentia; Muridae
Description: lncRNA (ENSMSIG00000015588.1)
Source: RNAcentral
CUUACGUUGAAUGUGAAUGGCAAGACGUGGGCGGAGUCACAAAUGUGGGCGGGACCCAGGGCUGGAUGCUCCGCAUGGAUGCUCAGGCUGAAUGUGAACAUCAUCUCUACAGUCAUAUACUGGAAUUGGAGUUGCGGCUGCUGAUGGUGUUUGCUUCUGAGUGACUUUCCUGUGCAAGGGAACUGUAGAAAGAGUCUCUGGUGUGUCCUGUGAAGGCAGCCUGAAGCCCCAGGGGCCAUGACUGUAGUAGGAGAGUGGCCACCACCUCGCCCUUGUCAGCAUUUAUCUGAGACAGGCUGUGAGACAAGCAUCGAACUUUCAGACAGAAUGACGUCCCAAGAGUCCAGUGUCAAUCGAUGCUAACUGCAGCUUCCUGUGUUGUACAUGCACAAUGAAAUUUCCUUUCAGCCAUAAAGAAGAAUGAAGUUCUGUCGUUUGCGAGAAAAUGGAUGAAACUAGAGACCCUCUUAUUAAGCGAAUUAAAUCCGAC